AGCAUAUCAAUAAGCGGAGGAAAAGAANCCAACAGGGAUUGCCUCAGUAACGGCGAGUGAAGCGGCNAACAGCUCAAAUUUGAAAUCUGGCGCCUGCGGCGNUCCGAGUUGUAAUUUGCAGAGGAUGCUUCGGCGUCGGCACCGGUCUAAGUUCCUUGGAACAGGACGUCACAGAGGGUGAGAAUCCCGUACGUGGCUGGCCGCCGUCGCCAUGUGAAGCUCCUUCGACGAGUCGAGUUGUUUGGGAAUGCAGCUCUAAAUGGGAGGUAAAUUUCUUCUAAAGCUAAAUACCGGCCAGAGACCGAUAGCGCACAAGUAGAGUGAUCGAAAGAUGAAAAGCACUUUGGAAAGAGAGUUAAACAGCACGUGAAAUUGUUGAAAGGGAAGCGGUUGCCACCAGACUUGACCGCGGGCGCUCAGCCGGGCUUCUGCCCGGGGCACUCGCCCGCGGCCAGGCCAGCAUCAGUUCGGGCGGUCGGAGAAAGGCCUCGGGAAUGUGGCUCCCCUCGGGGAGUGUUAUAGCCCGGGGCGCAAUGCGGCCAGCCCGGACUGAGGUCCGCGCUUCGGCUAGGAUGCUGGCGUAAUGGUUGCAACCGGCCCGUCUUGAAACACGGACCAAGGAGUCUAACAUCUAUGCGAGUGUUUGGGUGUCAAACCCAUGCGCGUAAUGAAAGUGAACGGAGGUGGGAGCCGCAAGGCGCACCAUCGACCGAUCCUGAUGUCUUCGGAUGGAUUUGAGUAUGAGCAUGGCUGUUGGGACCCGAAAGAUGGUGAACUAUGCCUGAAUAGGGUGAAGCCAGAGGAAACUCUGGUGGAGGCUCGCAGCGGUUCUGACGUGCAAAUCGAUCGUCAAAUUUGGGUAUAGGGGCGAAANACUAAUCGAACCAUC
RNAcentral lists this ribosomal RNA (889 nucleotides) under Myrmaecium rubrum. RNAcentral's name for it is "eukaryotic LSU rRNA". It matches the Rfam family "Eukaryotic large subunit ribosomal RNA", at positions 37 to 944 of the family's 3401-position model. Lineage: Eukaryota; Fungi; Ascomycota; Dothideomycetes; Valsariales; Valsariaceae. The record is from RNAcentral.